GGAUUACCUCAGUAACGGCGAGUGAAGCGGUAACAGCUCAAAUUUGAAAGCUAGCUCUUUUAGGGUUCGCAUUGUAAUUUGUAGAAGAUGCUUCGGGUGUGGCCCCGGUCUAAGUUCCUUGGAACAGGACGUCAUAGAGGGUGAGAAUCCCGUAUGUGACUGGGUGCUUUCGCUCAUGUGAAGCUCUUUCGACGAGUCGAGUUGUUUGGGAAUGCAGCUCAAAAUGGGUGGUAAAUUUCAUCUAAAGCUAAAUAUUGGCCAGAGACCGAUAGCGCACAAGUAGAGUGAUCGAAAGAUGAAAAGCACUUUGGAAAGAGAGUUAAACAGUACGUGAAAUUGUUGAAAGGGAAGCGCUUGCAACCAGACUUGCGCGCUGAUGAUCAUCCGGGCUUCUGCCCGGUGCACUCGUCUGCGCUCAGGCCAGCAUCGGUUUCGGUGGUGGGAUAAAGGCCUUGGGAAUGUGGCUCCUCUCGGGGAGUGUUAUAGCCCUCGGUGCAAUGCCGCCUACCGGGACCGAGGACCGCGCUUCGGCUAGGAUGCUGGCGUAAUGGUUGUAAGCGACCCGUCUUGAAACACGGACCAAGGAGUCUAACAUCUAUGCGAGUGUUUGGGUGUCAAACCCAUACGCGUAAUGAAAGUGAACGGAGGUGAGAACCCUUAAGGGUGCAUCAUCGACCGAUCCUGAUGUCUUCGGAUGGAUUUGAGUAAGAGCAUAGCUGUUGGGACCCGAAAGAUGGUGAACUAUGCGUGAAUAGGGUGAAGCCAGAGGAAACUCUGGUGGAGGCUCGCAGCGGUUCUGACGUGCAAAUCGAUCGUCAAAUUUGCGUAUAGGGGCGAAAGACUAAUCGAACCAUCUAGUAGCUG
This 864-nucleotide ribosomal RNA is filed under the name Cadophora sp. REF002. RNAcentral's name for it is "eukaryotic LSU rRNA". It matches the Rfam family "Eukaryotic large subunit ribosomal RNA", at positions 72 to 953 of the family's 3401-position model. Lineage: Eukaryota; Fungi; Ascomycota; Leotiomycetes; Helotiales; Ploettnerulaceae. The record is from RNAcentral.